RNAcentral lists this ribosomal RNA (516 nucleotides) under uncultured bacterium. RNAcentral describes it as "bacterial SSU rRNA". It matches the Rfam family "Bacterial small subunit ribosomal RNA", at positions 27 to 543 of the family's 1533-position model. The record is from RNAcentral.
GGAUGAACGCUGGCGGCGUGCCUAACACAUGCAAGUCGAACGAAGCGAUUUAACGGAAGUUUUCGGAUGGAAGUUGAAUUGACUGAGUGGCGGACGGGUGAGUAACGCGUGGGUAACCUGCCUUGUACUGGGGGACAACAGUUAGAAAUGACUGCUAAUACCGCAUAAGCGCACAGUAUCGCAUGAUACAGUGUGAAAAACUCCGGUGGUACAAGAUGGACCCGCGUCUGAUUAGCUAGUUGGUAAGGUAACGGCUUACCAAGGCGACGAUCAGUAGCCGACCUGAGAGGGUGACCGGCCACAUUGGGACUGAGACACGGCCCAAACUCCUACGGGAGGCAGCAGUGGGGAAUAUUGCACAAUGGGCGAAAGCCUGAUGCAGCGACGCCGCGUGAGUGAAGAAGUAUUUCGGUAUGUAAAGCUCUAUCAGCAGGGAAGAAAAUGACGGUACCUGACUAAGAAGCCCCGGCUAACUACGUGCCAGCAGCCGCGGUAAUACGUAGGGGGCAAGCGUUA